AUGAACGCUGGCGGCGUGCCUAAUACAUGCAAGUCGAGCGAACGGACGAGAAGCUUGCUUUUCUGAUGUUAGCGGCGGACGGGUGGGUAACACGUGGAUAACCUACCUAUAAGACUGGGAUAACUUCGGGAAACCGGAGCUAAUACCGGAUAAUAUUUUGAACCGCAUGGUUCAAAAGUGAAAGACGGUCUUGCUGUCACUUAUAGAUGGAUCCGCGCUGCAUUAGCUAGUUGGUAAGGUAACGGCUUACCAAGGCAACGAUGCAUAGCCGACCUGAGAGGGUGAUCGGCCACACUGGAACUGAGACACGGUCCAGACUCCUACGGGAGGCAGCAGUAGGGAAUCUUCCGCAAUGGGCGAAAGCCUGACGGAGCAACGCCGCGUGAGUGAUGAAGGUCUUCGGAUCGUAAAACUCUGUUAUUAGGGAAGAACAUAUGUGUAAGUAACUGUGCACAUCUUGACGGUACCUAAUCAGAAAGCCACGGCUAACUACGUG
Molecule: ribosomal RNA, 496 nt
Filed under: uncultured bacterium
Lineage: Bacteria
Description: partial 16S ribosomal RNA
Rfam family: Bacterial small subunit ribosomal RNA
Source: RNAcentral